UUUUUUUCACCAGUCCAUAUGACAGCUUUUGAGCGGUUCACAAUUACUUUUAGGCGAUGGGGUGUGAGAGUGAGGAGGAGUACAGGGAGUCGAGGUGGCACCUUCCCAACGAGGAACACUGCCCUUUCUUUAGUGUCCAUGGAAGAUUUCCUCGUCUGAUGUUGUUGUUGCUGUGUGAUGAUGUUGUUGUUGCUUGUUGAUUGGAGGUUGAAGGGGAAGGGGAACACCACCCCCUUGAAGAGGGGAAGGUGGUGUGUGAUAAACGGGUGGUGGAAUGAUUUGGCGGGCUUAUAGGAUGCCUAAACGAGGAACUGGAAUGUGGAACGCUCUAAAAGGAGCAAAGACAGGGAAUUUGGAAGACUGGUCUGGCCGUAAGCCAUUGCCGUAAUUCAAUGUUUAGGUGUCGUAAGGGUGUUUUUGACCGUAGGGUGCAAUCAAGAUGGACGUAAGGUUACUGCAGCGCCGUAAGCUUACGGUGGCUACAGAUGAAAAGUCGUGAGUUUACCAUAAAACAUGAUUUUUAGGGUUUUUCCAUAUCUCUUUCAUCCAAUUCGUGGGAGGCAAGGCUAGGGGCGAUCCUAGGUGACUUUGUGCAAGUUUUUACACUAUUCCACACCUUCCAAUCAUUCCUUCAUCAUCCAUCAUGAGUUGCUAGAACUUUUGUGACUUCCUCUAGGUAGACGGUUAAUAUAGCUUUGCACAUUAUUUGAUUUAUGUAUUGGAUCUUAUUUUAUUUGUGAUGACAAAUAUUUAAAUCUAAUUGACGUAUUAGUUAAUUUAA
Molecule: long non-coding RNA, 781 nt
Filed under: Helianthus annuus (common sunflower)
Lineage: Eukaryota; Viridiplantae; Streptophyta; Magnoliopsida; Asterales; Asteraceae
Source: RNAcentral